GAGUUUGAUCCUGGCUCAGAUUGAACGCUGGCGGCAUGCCUUACACAUGCAAGUCGAACGGCAGCACGGGAGCUUGCUCCUGGUGGCGAGUGGCGAACGGGUGAGUAAUGCAUCGGAACGUAUCCUGGAGUGGGGGAUAACGUAGCGAAAGUUACGCUAAUACCGCAUAUUCUGUGAGCAGGAAAGCGGGGGACCUUCGGGCCUCGCGCUCUUGGAGCGGCCGAUGUCGGAUUAGCUAGUUGGUGAGGUAAAGGCUCACCAAGGCGACGAUCCGUAGCAGGUCUGAGAGGAUGAUCUGCCACACUGGAACUGAGACACGGUCCAGACUCCUACGGAGGCAGCAGUGGGAAUUUUGGACAAUGGGGGCAACCCUGAUCCAGCCAUGCCGCGUGAGUGAAGAAGGCCUUGG
Molecule: ribosomal RNA, 409 nt
Filed under: bacterium enrichment culture clone ALO1_GLFRUDD03GGBRO
Lineage: Bacteria
Description: bacterial SSU rRNA
Rfam family: Bacterial small subunit ribosomal RNA
Source: RNAcentral